AAAAACAUGUCCUUUUGAGUAUUUAUAUAAGGUCUAGCCUGCCCAAUGAUAUUUAUUUAAUGGCCGCAGUAUAUUAACUGUGCUAAGGUAGCAUAAUCAAUUGUCUUUUAAUUGAAGGCUGGUAUGAAGGGUUGGAUGAAAUAUUGACUUUUUUCUUAUUAAUUCUUGAAUUUAAUUUAUCGAUUAAAAAGUUGAUAUAAAAUUAAGGGACGAGAAGACCCUAUAGAUCUUUAUAAUUAAAUUUUAUUAUUUUAUUUUGGUUUAUUUUUUAAAGAUAAUGAUUUUAUUUAUUUAAUUGGGGUGAUUUUAGAAUUUUAAUAACUUCUAUUAUAAUAUUCAUUAAUCAAUGUUUAAUUGAUCCUAUAUUUAGAUUAAAAAAUUAAGUUACCUUAGGGAUAACAGCGUAAUUUUUUCAGAGAGUUCAUAUUAAUGAAAAAGUUUGCGACCUCGAUGUUGGAUUAAAAUAAGUUUUGGGCGCAAAAGUUCAUUAACUAGGUCUGUUCGACCUUUAAAAUUUUACAUGAUCUG
RNAcentral lists this ribosomal RNA (528 nucleotides) under Haematoloecha sp. MF-2017. RNAcentral's name for it is "partial 16S ribosomal RNA". It matches the Rfam family "Bacterial large subunit ribosomal RNA", at positions 1809 to 2607 of the family's 2925-position model. The record is from RNAcentral. Lineage: Eukaryota; Metazoa; Arthropoda; Insecta; Hemiptera; Reduviidae.